This 494-nucleotide ribosomal RNA is filed under the name Clavispora lusitaniae. RNAcentral's name for it is "LSU rRNA". It matches the Rfam family "Eukaryotic large subunit ribosomal RNA", at positions 85 to 648 of the family's 3401-position model. Lineage: Eukaryota; Fungi; Ascomycota; Pichiomycetes; Serinales; Metschnikowiaceae. The record is from RNAcentral.
AACGGCGAGUGAAGCGGCAAAAGCUCAAAUUUGAAAUCCUGCGGGAAUUGUAAUUUGAAGGUUUCGUGGUCUGAGUCGGCCGCGCCCAAGUCCAUUGGAACAUGGCGCCUGGGAGGGUGAGAGCCCCGUAUGGCGCACGCCGACUCUUUGCACCGCGGCUCCGACGAGUCGAGUUGUUUGGGAAUGCAGCUCUAAGUGGGUGGUAAAUUCCAUCUAAAGCUAAAUAUUGGCGAGAGACCGAUAGCGAACAAGUACAGUGAUGGAAAGAUGAAAAGCACUUUGAAAAGAGAGUGAAACAGCACGUGAAAUUGUUGAAAGGGAAGGGCUUGCAAGCAGACACGGUUUUACCGGGCCAGCGUCAAAUAAACGGGGGGGAAAAGGGGGAAAGAAUGUGGCGCGUGCCCUCGGGUUCGCGUGUUAUAGCUUUCUCUAAUACCCCCAUGUUUGUUUGAGGCCUGCGAUUCUAGGACGCUGGCGUAAUGGUUGCAAGCCGC